GAUGAACGCUGGCGGCGUGCCUAAUACAUGCAAGUCGAGCGAACGGACGAGAAGCUUGCUUUUCUGAUGUUAGCGGCGGACGGGUGAGUAACACGUGGAUAACCUACCUAUAAGACUGGGAUAACUUCGGGAAACCGGAGCUAAUACCGGAUAAUAUUUUGAACCGCAUGGUUCAAAAGUGAAAGACGGUCUUGCUGUCACUUAUAGAUGGAUCCGCGCUGCAUUAGCUAGUUGGUAAGGUAACGGCUUACCAAGGCAACGAUGCAUAGCCGACCUGAGAGGGUGGACGGCCAACAUGGAACUUGAGACCGGUCCCGACCCCUAAGGGAGGGAGCAGUAGGGAAUCUUCCGCAAUGGGGGGAAACCUGGCGGAGCCCCGCCGCGUGAGUGGAAAAGGUCUUCGGAGCGUAAAACCCUGUUAUUAGGGAAAAAAAUAUGUGUAAGUAACUGUGCACUGUUUGACGGUAACUAAUAAGAAAGCCACGGCUAACUACGGG
Molecule: ribosomal RNA, 497 nt
Filed under: uncultured bacterium
Lineage: Bacteria
Description: partial 16S ribosomal RNA
Rfam family: Bacterial small subunit ribosomal RNA
Source: RNAcentral